This 369-nucleotide ribosomal RNA is filed under the name uncultured phototrophic eukaryote. Its description in RNAcentral is "SSU rRNA". It matches the Rfam family "Bacterial small subunit ribosomal RNA", at positions 524 to 896 of the family's 1533-position model. The record is from RNAcentral.
GACGGAGGAUGCAAGUGUUAUCCGGAAUUAUUGGGCGUAAAGCGUCUGUAGGUUGCCUAACAAGUCUGUUGUUAAAGGUUAAAGCUUAACUUUAAAACUGCAGCAGAAACUGCUAGGCUUGAGUACAGUCGAAGUAGAGGGAAUUUCCAGUGAAGCGGUGAAAUGCGUAGAUAUUGGAAGGAACACCAAUGGCGAAAGCACUCUACUAGACUUUUACUGACACUCAGAGACGAAAGCUAGGGUAGCAAAUGGGAUUAGAUACCCCAGUAGUCCUAGCCGUAAACGAUGGAUACUAGAUGUUGCGUACUUAGUACAGUGUCGUAGCUAACGCGUUAAGUAUCCCGCCUGGGAAGUAUGCGCGCAAGCGUG